UCUUAACCAAGCUGCAAACUAGUCAUCAUUAUGACAAUCUAGGAAUACCAACACAAAUCGUACUUACAACCACCAUCUGUGCCUGCAUUGGACUUGAGGGCGCUGUUGUCGGUAAUGAUGGAUAGAGUACUGGCACAGUUUCCUGAGGAGGCAUCUCGUUCUGCUCAUAGUAUGGGUCAGUGUUCUUCUCCAUGGGGUCCUCUGAUGGGCGCUCGCGGCAAUGGUGAACGCACUGAAAAUAGGUCAAAGUAAUUUCAACAAAGGCUUAUGCAUUGCUUCCUGGAGGGUUCAAUUUGGCUUUCUAACCUAAGGCGGAAUUUCCAGACAUAAAGAAUAUACUAGAAUACAAAAAUGAAAAAAUAAAUAACUUUUCCGGAUUACUAACCAAAAGGAUAAAAAUGAUGAUGAGAAGCAACAGGAUGGCUGCAGCUAACACCAGGACGGCAAUGCCCCAUCCGGGCACCCAGUCUCUAUCGUCACGGUUUUCUCCACCACUGGGAGAAACAGAUAUUCCUCCACCAUUGGCCGGGUCAAGGGUUGCUGUAUGGUUAGGGUUAUUGGUAGGGUCAGUGGCGUUGGUAAGGUCAGGGGUCGUUGUAGGGUCAGGGUUAUUUGUCAGGUCAGGGGUCACUGUAUUGUCAGUGGUUGUUGUUGGCUCAGGAGUUGAAGGAGUUGAAGUUGGCUGCAGAGUUGUAGUUGGCUCAGGAGUUGCAGUUGGCUCAGGAGUUGUAGGAGUUGAAGUUGGUUGCAGAGUUGAAGUUGGCUCAGGAGUUGAAGGAGUUGAAGUUGGCUGCGGAGUUGUAGUUGGCUCAGGAGUUGUAGUUGGCUCAGGAGUUGUAGUUGGCUCAGGAGUUCUAGGUGGCUCAGGAGUUGAAGGAGUUGAAGUUGGCUCAGGAGUUGGAGGAGUUGAAGUUGGCUCAGGAGUUGAAGUUGGCUCAGGAGUUGAAGGAGUUAUAGUUGGCUCAGGAGUUGUGGUUGGCUCAGGAGUUGAAGGAGUUGAAGUUGGUUGCAGAGUUGAAGUUGGCUCAGGAGUUGAAGGAGUUGAAGAUGUCUUAGGAGUUGUAGUUGGCUCAGGAGUUGUAGUAGUUUUCUUGCACACAUCUUCAUCCAAUAUGACUGGCAUUGAAUCUUGAGAAAAAAUAGAAAGAACAGAGAAGGUAAUUGAACACUGAACACGGAUACAACUGUGGUGAUUUGAAAAAGAUAUGGAUGUUGACGAACAAAUAUGUGAAAAUAAAGGUUGUACCGCUUGUGUAUUCCUCGUUCACAUUGAGGCUUGUCUGCGGUAGGGCUUCUGCUAAAUAUAUUGUAAACAAUGCACGGACAAUACUCGGGUCGAUGGAAGUUGUGUUGAAGAUGAUAGACGCGUUAGCUAUCAGUCCAUGGCUGUGAAGUAUAAAAAUAAUAAAUACAACUAAUAUUAAAUACCAACAUAAAACCAAAGCAAAACACAAAUCUAGCAUACCCAGACAAUAACAUAAAUUUAAGAGUACAAUACCUGUAGUUUAUGCAUUCAACACCUUCGUAGAAGAGUUUAGUUGGGCAUGCUUCACAUUUGUAAAUGCCAUCAAGCUGUAAUGCGCACCAAUAGUUGCUCUGAUUAAAUUAUCUACCUUGUUGUUUGGAACAAAAAUAUGACAAAUUAAGGUAUGUAUGCUAAUUCAAACCAUUCUGUUUAAAUACAUGUCACACUGUGGUCUGAGUUUGAAAAGCUGUGUAGAACAAUAGCUAAUGCAUUUUUUCUGGAAUUGACUCUAAAUAUCUACCUAGUAUCUUUUACAAAAUGGAUUUGUUUAUUUUUUGUCCUGAUAUCUAGGAACUGUGGUGUUGUUGUUGUUGUUAGAGGCUUUACCAGCGUCUCCACUUCUGCAUCCAACAUCUUGGAGUACUCUGAUUCCCUAUUCUGAAGGGAGGCAUUGAAGCCCACAUUGGUGAUCUCGAUUGCCAAAGCCACAGGCGUAGUGAUUAAUGUGACAGGGUCUACUGAAUCUGCAGAUGAACCUGAGGGGUUUGAUUGUGAGAUGUUAUCAUAUCAUAGAAUGAAGUUACAUUUCCACAUGAGUUAGGUUUCUGUUGGGUUUUACAAAACAAUGCAUUCCAUGGAAGCACUUUUUACAAGAACGAAAGACCCUGUGUCAUUGUGGGACGAACCCCGGUGUCGCUCCUAUCACUAUUUAUUGAUCCGCUCCUUUUAUAAACCAGGACACGGUUAGUAGACCUAUCUAGUUUGGCGUAGAUAGACCUAUCUUCACUACUGCCCCGUGCCCUGGUACAUCACGGAACAGAGCCAUACAGUGUUAUGAGCAGCACCUGUGUUUUUCCUUCGAAGACAAAACUAUGGCCUGAUGAGAGAAUAGUGCUUGCCUCUGUAAAACUGAUCUAUUGUUUGAGGUUAUUGUCUGAAGAUACUGAACAUGAACAGAAGAAAACCUUUGCCAACCCAACAUAGAGUCAAUGUUCUCCCAUUUCUAGGAUGUAAUAUAAUUGGAUCACCAUCAAUUGUUCUCUACCAACUUCAUUGUAAAAUAUUUUAAACAAAUUCUCACCUGGAGUUGAAGAAAUGGUAAGGCAUAGCAGGACCCCCCACACCCAUCUCGAUAGUUGACCCAUCUUCUAAAAAGCCGGUCAAAUAUUGCCAGUUAAAAAUAAAUCCGGUCAGACUGCAU
Molecule: long non-coding RNA, 2666 nt
Organism: Gadus morhua (Atlantic cod)
Lineage: Eukaryota; Metazoa; Chordata; Actinopteri; Gadiformes; Gadidae
Source: Ensembl